Molecule: long non-coding RNA, 15231 nt
Filed under: Ricinus communis (castor bean)
Lineage: Eukaryota; Viridiplantae; Streptophyta; Magnoliopsida; Malpighiales; Euphorbiaceae
Source: RNAcentral
UAAAAAAAAAGUAAAAAGGAAAAGGUAUUCUAAAGAAAAAUAGAGGGCCGUUUUCAUUUUAAAAUGUAAAAAACGAUACAAAUAUACAAAUACUAAAUAAAUAAACUAAAAGAAACUAUCAAAAUAGAAAUAAUGUUCCAAUUUUUUUCUUUUUAUUUUCUAGUAAUUUCCGUAGUGAUUCCAAGAAAGUUUUUGAAUGAAGUUAUACAACAUAGUUUUUUUAAUUAAUUUUUAUUAAUAUUAUUAAUAUUUUUUAUUUUUUAUUUAUUUAUUAAUAUUUAUUUAAUUAUUUAAUAAAUUAAUAUUUAAUUAUUGUAAUAUUAGUUUUCUAUUUUAUUCUAUAAUUGUCUAAGGAAUCUCUCGAUUCGGAAUCAAGAGAAUAUAAGCGGAUGUCAUAGAUGAUAAAUUGAUUUCUUUCUCUACCUAUAUCAUAUCACUCUAUUUUUUGAGUGCUGUCUAUAAUAUAUAAUGAUAAUGAUUGAUAAAUAAAAAUAAAUAAAAAGUGCUCAAUUGAACUUUUUCUUUCAAUUGGUAUUUUUGUUCAUCUUCGUAUCUUUUAUCUUUCAAAAAAUCGAACUUAAGAAAGUACUUUUGCUUUACAAGUAUAUGUAUAAAAAGGUUUUUUAGUUUCUAUAUGCUUACUAUAACUAGUUAUUUCAGUUUUCUACUAGUGGCUUUAACUAUAACCUCAGUUCUAUUUAUUGGUCUGAGCAAGAUACGACUUAUUUGAAAUAAAUUGAAUGAACAAUUUAUAAAAAGAAAAGAAAAUUUUUCGGCAGUAUUCCAUCUAUUCUCUAGUUCUUUACCGUGUUAAUUUUCAAUUCUUGUUUAUUGAAAUUUUUCUUAUUGAGAUAUUGCUUAUUGAGAUUUAUGGGCGAUAUGGAUUAAUAUUUAAGGAUAGAUAUUACCUUUCUUUCACACCCCCCACACCCCUUUUUUUUUCAAAUAAAUUGAAAUGAUUGAAGUUUUUCUAUUUGGAAUUGUCUUAGGUCUAAUUCCUAUUACUUUGGCCGGAUUAUUCAUAACUGCAUAUUAACAAUACAAGCGUGGUGAUCAGUUGGACCUUUAAUUAAUUAAUUAACACCUUUUUUUUUUUUUACCUCUUCUUUUCCUUAAUCCACAGGAGGUCAAAUUCAGAUUGCUCUUCUAUUUUUUCUGUAUAAAAUUUGACUUAACAAAACAAGAAUAGAAUCACGCUCUGUAGGAUUUGAACCUACGACAUAGGGUUUUGGAGACCCACGUUCUACCGAACUGAACUAAGAGCGCUUUCUUAUCCCAAUCACAAAAAAAUCGGACUGUAAGUAAAAAGAUUCUUUUUUUAACUACUCCAAUAUAUCUUGAGUGCCUAUACUAUCAUAUAUAAUAUGAUAAAAAUAAAAGAUUAAGUAUGGCCAAGUUUAAUUGAUCUCAAUUGAUCCCUCGUUAUUACUCAGAGACGAAGUAAUAGGUAAGGAUGACAGGAUUUGAACCCGUGACAUUUUGUACCCAAAACAAACGCGCUCCUUUCAAUUGGUUUACAAUGUUAUUGUAAAGAAUACCCAUUUUGUUUUUCACAUACUUAUUUCAUUUUCUCCAUUGAUAUACUUUUUCUUUUUGAUCUCAUAUCUUAUAUUAUAUUCAUAUAUUAUAUAAUAAUAUCGCUUAUUAUAUCUUAUUAUAUAAUGAUAUACUUACGUAAUAAUAAAAUAUAAUGAUAAACUUACGUACUAAUAAACUUACAUAAAUUUCGUGAAUGCUCGAGAGGACAUUUUUUCUUUGUUUAAGAAAAGGAAAAUCUUAUCUAGCAAAUUGUUGUACAUUUUAGUUUGAAUUAGAGAUCCUACUUACAAAACAAAUGCAAGUGUCCUUUAACUACAUAUACGUCUGAUUAUAUAUGUAUAAUGAUUAUAUAUUAUUACAAUAAAAUAAACAUUAUUUAUUACAAUAACAAUAAAGAAUAAAGAAGGAGGGUUUUAAAUGCGAGAUCUAAAAACAUAUCUAUCUGUGGCACCGGUAAUAAGUACUAUAUGGUUUGCGUCUUUAGCAGGUCUAUUUAUUGAGAUCAAUCGUUUUUUCCCGGAUACGUUGACAUUCCCCUUUUUUUCAUUCUAGUUAUUAACGUGCGCGUGCGGGGGGUGAAGAAGAUUAGAGAUACAAUUAAAUAUUUGUGACUACUGCCCCCUUCCUCUUUUUUUAUUUAAUUAGAAUAAGUUAGAAAAGAAAAAAGAAUAAAAGUGGAUUCAACCGCAGCAAAAUAAAAUUCGGAACUUGGGGCUCCAGCUUCAAGUAAAGUAAACUAACUUCAAUUAAAUUAUUAAAUUAGGAUAAGAGAAGGGAAGUAGAAAUUUGAUUAUUGCAACAAUAUUAUACAAGAUGCUUAAAUGAAAUAUUGUACUGUGAUUCUAAUCUAAACUUAUAAUCUAAAUAUAGUUUAGAAUCUUUGUAUUACUUAUUAUUCCUAUAUUAGUUGCAAUGAAAUCUUUCAAAAUUGGAUUUCGAGUUAGCAACUUAUAUUUUUUUCGUUCCUUUCUUCUUCACUUCGGAUCGAAAAAUCGAAGAGUUGAGUGAAUAAAAACCCUAAGGAGGUUCAUGGCCAAGGGUAAAGAUGUCCAAGUAAGGAUCAUUUUAGAAUGUACUAGUUGUGUUCAAAACAGUUUUAAUAAAAAAUCAACAGGUAUUUCCAGAUAUAUUACUCAAAAGAAUCGACAUAAUAUGCCUAGUCGAUUGGAAUUAAGAAAAUUAUGUCCCUAUUGUUACAAACAUACAAUUCACGGAGAGAUAAAGAAAUAGACGGAACUGGUCGCCUGUGUGUUACCUUUACAAGAAAGAUGAAAAAAUGACAUAAAUGACAUAUUAAUAUAUAAUAUGUUAUGUUAAUAUAUUGUUAAUAUAUAUUAACAUUAACAUAUAUUAAAAUUAUAUAUAUAUAUAUAUAUAUUUAAAUAUAAAAUAAACAAGCAAAAUCCUAUUUCUUAAUUCUAAAUCAUUUUUGAUCCAAUUGAACGAAAUAGGAUUUUCGAAAUAAGGAAUAAACAAACCAUGGAUAAAUCCAAACGGCCUUUUCUUAAGUCCAAGUGAUCUUUUCGUAGGCGUUUGCCCCCGAUCCAAUCGGGGGAUCGAAUUGAUUAUAGAAACAUGAGUUUAAUUAGUCGAUUUAUUAGUGGACAGGGAAAAAUAUUAUCUAGAUGGGUGAAUAUAUUGAGUUUAAAACAACAACGAUUAAUUACUAUUGCUAUAAAACAAGCUCAUAUUUUAUCUUCGUUACCUUUUCUUAAUAAUGAAAAACAAUUUGAAAAAAAGCGAGCUGGUCACUAUAACUACUGAUCUUAGAACCAGAAAAAUAGGCUUACUCCUCAAUUGAAUCAAAAUUCAAAUCCGAAUAUAAUUUAAACCUAGAUUAAUGUUUUGUUCAAAAAAUCCGAAAAUCAAAAUUUGAGUGUCGUGUCAUAAGAAAAAAAAUAAGUUGGGUAAGAAGAAAUAUUUUUUUUAUUGAAUGUUUUUGUUCAGUUUGACUACUUUAUACUUGAUUAUAUUAUCAUCAUAUUUUAUCAUACUAAUUUCUAUUCUACCUUCCCGGAAUUCAUUCUUCAAGGAAUUCCAUGUAAAAUAUUUCAUAGAUUCUUUCCAAUUUCCUUAUUUUAUAAUGUCAUUGGAAAUCAUAUAAAGGCAAUUCCUAUUUAAUAUAGCUAUUUGUGCAAGUAUUUUACGAUUAAGAAGUAACUGUCUCUUGUACAGAUUAUUUAUUAAUCUACUAUAACUAGAGGAUACCCUAUUCUCAUGAAUUACUGCAUUUAUCUGAGUGACCCACAAACGACAAAAAUUUCUUUUUUGCCUAUCUCUAUCCCGAUGGGCCAAAGCCAAAGCUCUUAUUUUUUGUUGAAUAAUAGUUCGAGUAAGUCUUGAAUGAGCCCCGUGAAAGCUUGAUGCGAAUAAACGAAUUUUUGUUCUACGCCUCCGAGCUAUAUAUCCUCGUCUAGUUCUGGUCGUUGAAUAAACAAAACUUGGAUAAAUAACUAGUUGAUUUCCUUUCUUUCAGUUAUUCUUUUCCCCUUUUCUAUAAUAACAAAACGGAUUCUUCCAGUGUAUAAAAUAAUAAUUCCAACCGCUUUUGCUACUAUAACCUUCCCAACCACGAUUUUUUCUUUCGAGGCAUUUCACCUCGAAAUAAGAAACUUUAUUGAUAUUAGGUAUCAAACAAAAUUAUAAUAAAAAAUUAGUAAAUAAAAAUAUAGAAAUAGAUAAAUAAAUAAUAGAAAUAAUAGUGGGUUCCAUCGUUUCUAUGGUUACUUCUUAAACGGUGAGGUCUUCUCUAUACACCGGAGCCCCUCCUUAUUUAAUCAUUUAAUAUAAUAAAUAUUUAAUCAUUUAAUCAAUGCUAUUGUUAACAUGUACAUUUCACACUUUUCGGCUUUACCCAUGAAUUAUCUAGUAAUAGGUCUUUCAUAAGGAGAUCCGUCUAUACAGUAACGGUAUUUAAUUAUGAGGAUUUUCUAAUUAGUUGACCAUGUUAGUCCGUUCUUGCAAGAGUAGGGAUAUAAUUUUUGGCCUUUUAAUUUAAAUAAGAUUAAUAAGAUUUACCCCGCUUAAAGGAUAAUCAUUUGUUACCAAUGGGAAACUCUUUCUCGUUUUAAAUUGAAAAUUGAGGUUGCAGCAAUGAAACCGUAAAUUUGACACACAAUAGACGAAUAUGAUAGAUCAUUUUUUUUUUAGAUAAUGAAGGGGAGUCUUCUAUUCUAUCUUAUUCAUCCAUACUGAUCAUAGAUAUUGAAAAAAGUUUUCUUUUGUCCAAGUUCACGAUCUAAACAAGUCACACAUACACCCUAGUACAUGUUCCUCAGCGCUGAGGACAUCCUCCGAGAGCGGGGGAUUUGGUGAUAUUUUUGAUUGGCUGUCUUGUGUUUCUAAUAAGUUGUUUAAUAGUUGGCAUGUUGAAUCAUAUGCAUAAUGGGCUGGUUUAGAUCGAUCCUAACCGGAUGAUUAUGAAUUUUUUCUAUAUUAAUAUUUUAUUAUUAAAUAAUUAUUAAAUAAUUAAUAGAAUAUUAAAGAAUACUUAAUUGAAAUUGAAAGUCUGGUAAGAAAAAAAUAUUCAAUCAUGAUUUACGUGAGAUUUCUGCUAUGUCUUAUGCAACUGCUACAAGAUCAACAAUUCCAUGAGCUUGGGCUUCUGCUGCUGACAUAAAAACAUCUCUUUCCAUGUCUUCGGAUACAACCCAUAAAGGUUUUCCCAUUCUUUGUGCAUAAAUCCUUGUGAGGAUUUCAUGUAGUUUUAGUAGUUCUUCUGCUUCCAGGACAAAUUCUCCUAUUUGGGCCUCAUAAAAACCAGCAAUAGGUUGAUGAAUCAUUACCCUGAUGAUAUAAGAAAAAAAUGGCUAAUCUAUCUCGCAUAAUAAAUAAAAAGAUGACGAGAAGAGAUAAAGAAUAAUAAGAAAAAAAAGAUAGAAUUGAACAACCGUACAGGCAUUAUUUACGCAUUACAUACGGCUCCACAAUGGAAUUCACUUUUACUUACCUUUUUUUUAUCGAAUAAAAACAUAGAGUUUAUUAGGUUUAAAUCAGUAAAUGAUCCAAUAACCACCCUUUCCUUAUCUUUGGAGGAGUUAAAAAAUAAAACAAAAUACUAUGGUGGUCUCGUUGCUUUAUUUCAUCAGUGAUUUAGCAAUCCCAAAGUUUUUUUUUAUUUGAAAAAUAAAUCUCUUUUCGUACUCUUUUAUUUUUUUUAACAUAAAUAAUGUUAACAGCCCUCCGGUGUGAAAACAAAAAAGUUUGUGACGCUGAAAUAGGCCCCUGAUAGAAUAAAAUCAGAAAUACCCUUACUUAAUAUCUCAUACUACUCUUUCGAUACAUAAUCUAAUGUUUAAAAUAACAAUUCUUAUAUCUAUAUCGAAUUCGAACUGCCAUGCUAUUAUUACUUAAUAUUUAUAUUUCAAUAUUUCAUAUGGCGAAGGCAUAGUUUUCUUGUUUCUUUCAAAUAAAAACCCAUUGGCGCCAAGCAUGAGGGAAUGCUAAACGUUAGGUAAUUUUUCCUCCAACUAGGAUAAAAGAUGCCAUUGAAGCAGCUAAUCCCAUGCAUACUGUUUGUACAUCUGGUCACACAAAUUGCAUAGUAUCAUAAAUAGCUAUUCCGGGUAUUACCCAUUCGCCAUGAGAGUUUAUAAACAAAUACAAAUCUUUAGUCUCGCUCUCUAUACUGAGAUAUACCAUAAGACCAAUAAGUUGAUUCGAGAUCUCGCUAUCAACAUCUUGACCUAAAAAAAGUAAUCUUUCUCGAUAAAGUCAGUUGAUUAAGAUGAAAUUCUAUCUUCUAGGAGCCGUACGUGCACCUUUUGAUGCAUACGGUUCAACAAAAAUCGAUGAAAAUAAAAUAAAGAAUCAAUGUGUAGAUUCCAACCUUCCUUUUUUGAUAGUGAGUACUUUUUAACUUAACUCUUUUUUUCUAAUUUAUAAUGCUAAUGAAAGGGCUUUUCUUCCAAUUUUCAAGAAAGAUGAGUUUUAACCUGUUUACCUAUAAAAUAAAAAAAAAUUUCCCUAUAAAGAUAAAAGGAUUAUUAAACUUAUCAAACAAACUUCUCAUUGAUGUAUUUUUUCAUCGAGAUUCAAUUCAAAUCACGAUGGCAUUAUCUUGUUCCUGAAUGGGUUUCUUCAAUUCUUUUAGGUUUGUGCUCUACUCUGAGUAAAGAUUUCCUCGAUUUUUAUUUGCACAUAUAGAGCAAAUGCCCCAAUACCGCGUCUUUUUGUUACAACUUCCUUUUAUUUAUUUAAUUCAUUUCACGUCUUCUGCCAAAUAUUUGACAUAUUCAUUAUUAUAUUAUUCGAUUGAGUAUGAUUAGCAGUUUGAAAUUAUUUCAACUUCAUAAUUAUUUCAACUUCAUAAAUAGAAUAUGAUACAAGCAGUAAUCGUAAUAGAUAUAUUACCAAUUGGGUUCUUUUAAACGGAGCCUGGAUACUUCAUUUUUUUGGUCCAAACAAGCCAACCAUAAAUUAUUCUAAUUGAUAUAUAUAAUAUUAAUCUGAGUACCUCAAAAGCAUAGAUUUAAUUGGACUUCAUUGCAUUUCAUGCUCCAAAUUUUGGAUGAUUUAAUCAAUCUUUCUUGGGCGAAACCAAGGAUAUCUCAAUCGGGAGAGAGAACGAGGGAAUCCCGUAUGACCCAAUAUAUCUGACAAGUCGCAUUAUACGUCAAUCCAAAUGGAAUCGUCUUCCCCAGGAUUUCGAAAAGGGACUUUUGGAACACCAAUAGGCAUUAAAUGACAGAAAAAUUUUAAGUACUCUAUUUCACUUUGAUGUGAAAACGUAACAAUGAAUUUAUUGUCUUAAUAAUAAUAACCUUUAUAAUAUUUUAUACAUGGAAUCAAUAAGUUUAUAUUUAUAUAUAUAUAUAAUAUAUAAAGACAAGGUAUGUUCGUUAUACCAUUCAUGACUCGUUUAGGAAUAACCAAUUCAUUGGGUGGUUGAAGUAUCACAGGAGGAAUUAUAACAAAUUCGGGUAUUUAGAGUUAUGAAGGCAUGGCUGGGGCGCAUAUUGUGUUUUCUGGCUUGUGUUUCUUGGCAACUAUUUAGCAUUGGGUGUAUUGGGAUCUAGAAUAUUUUAUGAUGAAUGUACAGGAAAACCUUCUUUGGAUUUGCCAAAGAUCUUUGGAAUCCAUUUAUAUCUCUCAGGGGUGGCUUGCUUUGGGUUUGGUGCUUUUCAUGUAACUGGGUUGUAUGGUCCUGGAAUAUGGGUAUCCGAUCCUCAUGGACUAACUGGAAAGGUACAACCUGUAAGUCUAGCAUAGGGUGUGGAAGGGUUUGAUCCUUUUGUUCUAAGAGGAAUAACCUCUCAUCAUAUUGCAGUGGGUACAUUGGGUAUAUUAGUGGGCCUAUUCCAUCUUAGUGUGCGUCCACCCCAAUGUUUAUACAAUGGAUUACGUAUGAGAAAUAUUGAAACUGUCCUUUCCAGUAGUAUCGCUGUUGUCUUUUUUGCAGCUUUUGUUGUUGCUGGAACUAUGUGGUAUGGUUCAGCAACUACUCCGAUUGAAUUAUUUGGUCCCACUCGUUAUCAAUGGGAUCAAGGAUACUUCCAGCAAGAAAUAUAUCGAAGAGUUAGUGCUGGGUUGGCCGGCAAAAGGUGGAUUGUUCAAAGUAGGCUCAAUGGACAACGAAGAUGGAAUAGCUGUUGGGUGGUUAGGACAUCCUAUCUUUAGAGAUAAAGAAGAGCGUGAGCUUUUUGUACGUCGUAUGCCUACUUUUUUUGAAACAUUUCCAGUUGUUUUGGUAGACGGAGAUGGAAUUGUUAGAGCCGAUGUUCCUUUUCGAAGGGUAGAGUCAAAGUAUAGUGUCGAACAAGUAGGUGUAAUCAUUGAGUUCUAUAGUGGCGAACUAAAUGGAGUCAGUUAUAGUGAUCCUGCUACUGUGAAAAAAUAUGCUAGACGCGCUCAAUUGGGUGAAAGUUUUGAAUUAGAUCGCGCUACUUUGAAAUCCGAUGGUAUUUUCGUAGCAGUCCAAGGGGUUGGUUUACUUUUGGACAUGCUUCGUUCGCUCUGCUCUCUUUUUUCGGACACAUUUGGCAUGGUGCUCGAACUUUGUUCAGAGAUGUUUUUGCUGGCAUUGAUCCAGAUUUAGAUGUUCAAGUGGAAUUUGGAGCAUUCCAAAAAAUUGGAGAUCCAACUAUAAGAAGACAGGUAGUCUGAUACAAUAUUUGAUAUCUCUUACUUUCUGCCUCUAUUCUAUUUUAUUUUUGUAAUUUGACACAAGGUACUAGAGAUAUCUGAAUUUGAAUUGCCGUCCUUUCUUUGAAUCUUGUUCUUUUUUUAUCCGGGAGACGAUUUCAAAUAAAUAAGUAUGGAAGCUAUAAUUGUAAACCACGAUUGAAUUUAUGGAAGUAUUGGUUUAUAAAUUCCUUUUAGUCUCAACUUUAGAAAUCAUUUUUUUCGCUAUCUUUUUUCGCGAACCACCUAAAGUUCCAACUAAAAAGAUAAAAUAAUUUUCCGUUAUCUUAAUUAAAGUAAAAAGCCUCCCAAUAUUGGGAGGCUCUUUACUUCAACUAGUCCCCGUGUUCCUCGAAUGGAUAUCUUAGUUGUUGAGAGGGUUGCCCAAAAGCAGUAUAUAAGGCAUACCCAGUAAAAGUUACAAGUAAACCAGAUAUAAAGAUGGCGACUAGGGUUGCUGUUUCCAUUAUUAUAUAAUUUAAUUUCAAGACCACAAUGGAUCUAUGAUAAGAUCAUUUAUUUAUAACGGAAUGGUAUACAAAGUCAACAGAUCUCAAUUAAUACAAAUAGGAUUUAUGGCUACACAAAGUGUAGAGAGUAGUUCUAGAUCUGGUCCAAGACGAACUGUUGUAGGGGAUUUAUUAAAACCAUUGAAUUCGGAAUAUGGUAAAGUAGCUCCCUGGAUGGGUAACUACUCCUUUGAUGGUGUCGCAAUGGCUCUAUUUGUGGUAUUCCUAUCUAUUAUUUUGGAGAUUUAUAAUUCUUUUGUUUUACUAGACGGAAUCUCAAUGAAUUAGAUUUACAAUAACCGCUAAGUCCUAGUUUUUCAAUACAAAAGAAGCAUUUUGGCUUGGUCUCAGAUUUUUGAUUCUAUUUUGGUAGUUCGAUCGUGAAAUUUCUUUCUUUCUGUAUUUUUGGAAUAUGAGUGUGCGACUUGUUAUAAUUGAUCCUAUUGAUAGUACAGAGAGUGGGCCUGUCGUCUUGAUAGAGAUGAUUUUUUACCUCGUCAGGUAUUUAUUUUAGUAUCCGGAGCACGGAAUAUAUGAAAUAGAUUAUGAAGUAUUAGAACUGUGAUUCAUACUUAAUAUUCAGAUCCCGUGACCAGAUUCCAAAAAAUUUCAAAGAAUUAGAAGGUAUAAAUUGAAAGAUUUUUCCUCCUCUUUUUCUAUGUUUGAUCAAAGGACAAACCUUUCUUUGAAUUUUUACUCAUUAUAUUUAUUCAGUGAAUAAGUGAUGGUAAAUGGUUCUUACUCAGGGAAUCUUUGGACUUAGUAUGAAGUUUUUAUUAAGUCAUCAUGGUUCUAAUAUGAAUCUGAGGUUUCAAUCGAUUUAUAGGAUCUUAACAAGAAAAUUCCUAUCAAUAAUAAUGAAAACAACAGUAAGGCUGCAUUACAUACAAAAAAAAUACGAAAAAAAUGGGUAAAUAGAAGAUUCAAGAGGCAUGUAAUAAUCAACACCAAGAGAUGAAUGAGCCAACUUGAUAUUUUGGCAUUAUAACCAUAAAGAAGAGUUUUUAAAGAAGAGUUUUUGGAUUUUUCUUUUUUCGUAACAUCAUCUUCAAAGAAAACUGUUGAAUCAUAGGAUUAAGAAGUUUCUAUUCUAUUACCCAUAUCCAUUUCAACUAGUAUUUUGGUGGUUCCGUUUGAGCCGUACGAGAUGAAAUUUUCAUAUACGGUUCUCGGAGGGGGAGGCCCUCUGGUUUACCUAUCUCAAUAAAGUUUAUGAUUGGUUCAAAGAACGUCUCGAGAUUCGAGCGAUUGCAGAUGAUAUAACUAGUAAAUAUGUUCCUCCCCACGUCAACAUAUUUUAUUGUUUAGGAGGAAUUACGCUUACUUAUUUUUUAGUACAAGUAGCUACGGGGUUUGCUAUGACUUUUUACUACCGUCCGACCGUUAUUGAGGCUUUUGCUUUUGUUCAAUACAUAAUGACUGAAGCUAACUUUGGUUGGUUAAUUCGAUCAUUUCAUCGAUGGUCGGCAAGUAUGAUGGUUUUAAUGAUGGUCCUGCACGUAUUUCGUGUGUAUCUCACUGGUGGCUUUAAAAAACCUCGUGAAUUGACUUGGGUUACAGGUGUGGUUCUUGCUGUAUUGACCGCAUCUUUUGGUGUAACUGGUUAUUCCUUGCCUUGGGACUAGAUUGGUUAUUGGGCAGUAAAAAUUGUAACAGGCGUGCCAAAAGCUAUUCCUACAAUAAGAUCGUCUUUGGUAGAGUUAUUACGUGGAAGUGCUAGUGUAGGACGAUCCAUUUUGACUUGUUUUUAUAGUUUACACACUUUUGUAUUACCUUUUCUUACUGUCGUAUUUAUGUUAAUGCACUUUCCAAUGAUACGUAAGCAAGGUAUUUCAGGCCCUUUAUAGUAUAGAGAAUAUAGAUUAUAAAUAUUUGUAACCAACCAUUGAUCGCUUUGGGGAGGAAGAAUAGUAUUUCAUUGCUAUAAAUAUGGAUUACUGAAAAGAAUAAGACAUGUAUUUGGAUAUUUCCCUUCAACACCAAUUUUUUUUUAUUUUACAUGAAUAGUUGAAGCGAAUUCUCCUAAGAGAAAAAUGGAUUAUGGGAGUGUGUGACUUGGACUAUUGAUUUGGCCGCGCGGAUAUAUGCUCUUAUCCGCCACAUUGGAAUUAAUAACCAAAUGUGUCUUUGUUCCAACCACUGCGUGUGCCCCAUACAGAGGAUAGGCUGGUUCACUUGAAGAGAAUCUUUUCUAUGAUAAGAUCCAAUCAUGUUGUGCAUGAACAGGCUCCGUAAAACCAAGUAGAAUAAGCGAUAUGGUAGAAUCUAUAUUCUAUUUUACCUAUUUUAUUUAUAUGUUUUAUUUUAUUUAUUUCCUUUACUUUAUUACUUAAUACUUUAUAGAUUACUUAAUACUUUAUAGUAUCAAAAUGCAGUCAUUUCCUCUGCAUUGAUCCGAUUUAUGAUACUAUCGGAGUGAAAUGAAAUAAGGGAUCUAAAGAAUGACAUAGGCAAAACUAUAUUGAUAACAAGUAAAUCCUUUGUAUGUAAAAAGUCUCGAUAUUUUUCUGAGAUAAAGGCCAAUCGAAAGGUCUGAGACGAGCCAAAAAGCACUUAAUCAUGAUCACCUUUUAGGCCUACUUGGGUAUUGAGCAUUUACCUAUAAGAAUGAAUUCCUUGCAAUGGAUAAUUAAUUGCAACUAUGGGAAAAGGAAUCCAGUCAAUUUUUUAUUACAUAAUAUUACAUAAAAUCAUUCAUAUAUGAGUAGACAUGGCUAACAUUUUACAUUUUAUAAGAUCUAUAAAUACAAGAUUUUUUUUUAUAUGGAUCUAUUUGAUUCGUUUGAUUCUUGCUCGAGCUGGAUGAUGAAAAAUUAUCAUGUUCGGUUCCUUCAGAGGAUGGAUUUAUAAGAAUUCACCUAUCCCAAUAACAAAAAAACCUAACUUGAAUGAUCCUGUAUUAAGGACUAAGGCUAAAGGAAUGGGUCAUAAUUAUUACGGAGAACCCGCAUGGCCCAAUGAUCUUUUAUAUAUUUUUCCGAUAGUAAUUCUAGGUACUAUUGCAUGCAAUGUAGGAUUAGCGGUUCUAGAUCCAUUAAUGAUUGGUGAACCUGCGGAUCCAUUUGCAACUCCUUUGGAAAUAAUGCUUGAAUGGUAUUUCUUUCCUGUAUUUCAAAUACUUCGUACAAUACCCAAUAAGUUAUUGGGUGUUCUUUUAAUGGUUUCAGUACCUGCAAGAUUAUUAACAGUACCCUUUUUGGAGAAUGUUAAUAAAUUCCAAAAUCCAUUUCGUCGUCCAGUUGCGACAACCGUCUUUUUGGUUGGUACUGCAGUAGCCCUUUGGUUAGGUAUUGGAGCAACAUUGCCUAUUGAUAAAUCCCUAACUUUAGGUCUUUUUUAAAUUGAUUCAAUUGUAAAAUAAAAUAUCAUGACGUGUAUGUCUAUCUAGGGAAUAGUCGCUUCAAAGUGAAUUCUCCCUAGAUAACAUCUAUCGGAUUUAUAUUUUAUUCUUUGGUUAAAAAAAUUAAAUUACAAAAUUUUUUCUAUUUCUAGAAUACCCAAUAUAUGUUUUACAUAAUCUAUACGAAAAUGUUCAAUUUUCAUAAGAUCCUCUUGACUCUUAUUCAAAAGGUCCGAUAAUGUAUGUAUAUUAGAUCUUUUGAGGCAAUUAUAGAUCUUAGGAGUCAAUUCUGAUUGGUCAAUAAAAACAUAUUUUAAUGUUAUUUCGUUUUGAUUUUUUCUUAAUUUAGUCAACCUAUCAUAAAAGGUAAAAAGAGGUAAAGUAACCUUGUCUUGAUUUUUUUCUAAAUGGAAGUUUUCUUCUUCUGCAUGUAGAAAAGGAAUAAAUAAAUCAAUCAAAUUCUGGGAGGCUUCAUGAAGUGCUUCUUUAGGAGUUAAACUCCCAUUUGUCCAUAUUUCGAGAAAAAGUAUCUCUUGCUUUUUAUUCGCAUUUCCAUAAGAAUGAAUACUGUGAUUCGCAUUUCGAACAGGUAUAAAUACAGCAUCUAUAGGAUAACUUCCAUCGUGAAAGUUAUUUGUCGGUUUUAUACGAUAGCCGCAAUUUCUCUCGAUUUGUAAUCCAAUACACAAAUCAAUUGGUUCCAUUAGGCUAGCGAUAUGCUGUGUAUUAUCAAUGAUUUCUACAAAAGGCGGUAAAAUGAUGUCUUGAGCAGUUAUAUAUCCAGGACCCUUGACACAAAUAGACGCGUCACAAGUUCCAUACAAAUUACUUCUCAAUAAAAUUUCUUUCAAAUUCAUUAAAAUUUCAUGUAUUGAUUCUUGAAUACCUGCUAUAGUCGAGAAUUCGUGUGGUAUUUUCUCAGAUUUUGCACGUGUGAUACAUGUUCCUUCGAUUUCUCCAAGCAAAGCUCUUCGUGUCGCAAUGCCUAUUGUGUCGGCUUGGCCUUUCAUAAGUGGUGACAGAAUAAAGCGUCCAUAAAAAAGACGCUUAUUAUCAGUUCUUGAUUCAACACAUUUACACUACAGUGUUCGAGUAGAUAUUGUUACUUUCUCUCGAAUCAUAAUAAUAUUGAAAUCAUUGAAUUAUUUAUUUCUCUUGUCUCUUGAAAUCUCUUCAAUAUUUAUAUUUACACACGCCUUCUUUUAGGGGGCCUACAACCAUUAUGUGCCAUAGGGGUUACAUCCCGGACGAAGCUUAAUAAUAUACCACUUCUACGAAUAGCUCUUAAUGCUGCAUCUCGCCCGAGACCAGGACCUUUUAUCAUGACUUCUGCCCGUUGCAUACCUUGAUCCACUAUUGUUCGAAUAGCAUUUCUUGCUGCAGUUUGAGCUGCAAAUGGCAUUCCUCUUCUUGUGCCCCUGAAUCCACAAGUGCCGACGGAGGACCAAGAAAUCACUCAACCCCGUACAUCUGUAAUGGUCAUAUUAGUAUUGUUGAAACUUGCUUGAACAUAAAUAACUCCUUUUGGUAUUUUAUGCGCACUCUUACGUGAACCAAUACGUCCAUUCCUACGUGAACCAUUUCUUGGUAAAGGUUUUGCCAUAUUUUAUUAUCUCAUAAAUAUAAGUCAGAGGUCUAUGGAUAUAUCCAUUUCAUGUCAAAAUAGAUCCUUUUUUUAUUUAUACAUUUUUUUAUUUGUACAUCAAAUCCUUUAGAGCAUUUUUGCUUAGCAAGAUUAUCCUUGUCUUUGUUUAUGUCUCGGGUUAAAGCAAAUUACUAUAAUUCGCUCCCGUCUACGUAUCAGUCGACAUUUUUCACAAAUUUUAUAAACAGAAGCUCUUAUUUUCAUAUUUGCCGUCCCUUAAAUUUUGAAUAUACAUACUUUUUUGAAGAAAAUAAGUUUCUUUAAACUUUGAAAUCACGAAUUGUAUCCUUUAAAAGUGAUGAAAGUGAAAGGACUUUUUAAGUUGAAAAAAAAAACUGACUAAUCAUUCAAAUCUUUAUUUGUUACGGAGUCUAUAAAUUAGAAGUGCUCUGGUCAAAUUCUAAAUACUUAACACUAUUUCUGAGCAGUAUAGGUAUAAAAAAACCUAUGUUGGAUCCUUCCUGAAGCAUAACCUAAAACCAGAUCUUCAUUAUCUAAAGGAACUUGGAACAUACUAUAGAAAAAGUUAUUUAGAAAUUUAACCUUCCCAAAUUGAAUCCAUUUUUUGUUCUUUCAUUCCAUCUAAAAUCCCCUUCAAGUAUCAGUUAAUGUAAGAGGAAUGAUAUUAGAAACCUCUUCUUUCUCUUUUUUUUUCACAAAUAAGAAGUUGGGAUACAAUUCGGAUAUCCGAAAGAUUACCAUAUAUAACACAAGAUUUCUCCACCGAUUCUUUCUAGUCGAGCUUCUCGGUCGGUCAUUAUACCCCGAGAAGUAGAAAGAAUUACAAUACCCAUCCCGCCCAAAAUUCUAAGAAUUUUUUAAUAGUUAGAAUAGAUUCGUAGACCAGGUCGGCUAAUCCGUUUUAAAUUUAGACUAGUUCUAUAGGGUCCCUUCCUCUUCCUUCUAUGUCGUAGGGUUAAAACCAAAAAAAAAUUGUUGCCUUCCUAGUGUUUCCUGACAUUUUCAAUAAAACCUUCUCGUAAAAGUAUUUUAAUAAUUUUUUCAGUGAUGUUAGUGAAUGCUAUUCGAAUGGUUCCUUUUCUAUUCAUGUCAGCAUUUCGUAUAGAGGGUAUUAU